CUCAGGAAACUUAAAGGAAUUGACGGGGGCCCGCACAAGCAGCGGAGCAUGUGGUUUAAUUCGAAGCAACGCGAAGAACCUUACCAAGACUUGACAUCCCCUGACAGCUGUUGAAAGGCAGUGUCUCUUCGGAGCAGGGGAGACAGGUGGUGCAUGGUUGUCGUCAGCUCGUGUCGUGAGAUGUUGGGUUAAGUCCCGCAACGAGCGCAACCCUUAUCCUUAGUUACCAGCACGUAAAGGUGGGGACUCUAGGGAGACCGCCGGGGACGACUCGGAGGAAGGUGGGGACGACGUCAAAUCAUCAUGCCCCUUAUGUCUUGGGCUACACACGUGCUACAAUGGCCGCAACAGAGGGAAGCGAGAGCGCAAGCUGGAGACAAAACCCUAAAAAGCGGUCCCAGUUCGGAUUGUGGGCUGCAACCCGCCCACAUGAAGUCGGAGUUGCUAGUAAUCGCGAAUCAGCAUGUCGCGGGUGAAUGCGUUCCCGGGCCUU
RNAcentral lists this ribosomal RNA (493 nucleotides) under uncultured Lachnospiraceae bacterium. RNAcentral describes it as "bacterial SSU rRNA". It matches the Rfam family "Bacterial small subunit ribosomal RNA", at positions 891 to 1382 of the family's 1533-position model. The record is from RNAcentral. Lineage: Bacteria; Bacillati; Bacillota; Clostridia; Lachnospirales; Lachnospiraceae.